Molecule: ribosomal RNA, 408 nt
Filed under: uncultured bacterium
Lineage: Bacteria
Description: partial 16S ribosomal RNA
Rfam family: Bacterial small subunit ribosomal RNA
Source: RNAcentral
GACGAACGCUGGCGGCGUGCUUAACACAUGCAAGUCGAACGAAGUGGCGAACGGGUGAGUAACGCGUAAUCAACCUGCCCUUCAGAGGGGGACAACAGUUGGAAACGACUGCUAAUACCGCAUACUGAAGGAGGGGAGGGGGUGGGAUUAGCUAGUUGGAGGGGUAACGGCCCACAAAGGCGAUGAGCAGUAGCCGGUCUGGGUGGAUGGACGGCCCCCUUGGGACUGGUGCACGGCCCAGACUCCUACGGGAGGCAGCAGUGGGGAAUCUUCCGCAAUGGACGAAAGUCUGACGGAGCAACGCCGCGUGAGUGAUGACGGCCUUCGGGUUGUAAAGCUCUGUUAAUCGGGACGCGGUACCGGAAUAGAAAGCCAUGGCUAACUACGUGCCAGCAGCCGCGGUAAUAC